Molecule: long non-coding RNA, 1861 nt
Organism: Chroicocephalus ridibundus (black-headed gull)
Lineage: Eukaryota; Metazoa; Chordata; Aves; Charadriiformes; Laridae
Exons: 4
Source: RefSeq, a predicted model, not a curated record
CGCCGGCGGAGCCCCGGCUGUCCGGAGCUCUGAGGGAAAGGGAGGCGGGUGCCUGUGUCCUGAGGCGGCCUUUUCAGCUCAGGGACGGUGAGGCAGCAGUCAGCCCCCGGCGCUAAACGCGCUGCUGGAGGGGGAGUGCUUGCCUCUCCCCCCAUCCCCGUUUCUCUUCUCCUCAGCAGGCAGCAAAGGGAGGGGGGUCGUGCCCUGUGAGGAGGGCUGCGGCCAGCUCUCCGCCUCGGCUCCCCCCCUUAUCACCGGGUGGGCCGGCUGACUCACUGCUGUGGCGGGGAGAGAAACCUUUGAGAAGAAAUUUAAAUAGUCACCGGACCAGCAUAAGUAAGCUCUGUGCUGACUUUUCAAGCUUUGCCUGUUUUCUGAGGGAAAUACCACACUUCUCAAUUCCUGGGCAUUUCUGCAUGAAUGAUGCAACUGGAUUUGUUUGUUUGCAAAUCAGGACUAAAAAAUGAGAAAACGGCAUUCAAAAAGUGCAAAUUUUUGAACUUAAAAUUCAGAAAUUUUAUUCAUUUUUGGACAAAGAGUGAUUUGAAGACUGUCCGUGUACUUGUCUCUCUGCUCUGGAUUUUUGCAGUCAACCACCUAUCUGUUCUCUUUGCUCUGAGGCUUGUGUUGAGCAACCACUGUGUUUACCUGUGUGAUGUCUGCUUUUCCAGUUUUGGUUUUGGAGACUAGGUGUUCUCCUGAAGCCGCAAUUUCUCCUUUGAACUCCAGAGAAGCACCACCUUGAUUCCGAAGUAUUUCAGGCUGCUUAGGGUCCUAACUACAAGAUUAUCUUGAUGUUUUGGAUUGCAGCACUUUAUAUUGAAGAAUGAGUUGAACAGAGGUCCAGGGAGCUACGUGAUGUAGAACAACAUUUCUUGCUAGGUUAGAUAGUUAAAGGGAUGAACUGAAUAAGGUAGGAUAAUAGAAGAACAUGCAACGCUUUACGCUUGGAAAUCAAAGACUAAAUAACAUGUCUCCAUUCUAGUCAUUACCAGUAGGAGAUAGAAUUACAUCUCAGGGUUUCCAUGAGUUCUGUGUAUUCUGACCUAAGUAUCCACAGCAGUCUCCCCUGCCUGAGAACAGGGUCCGGCCUUCAUCUCUGGUAAAUAAUUCAGUAUAGCACUUCUGUGAAUAAGUAUUAUCGCGUACGUUUAAUAUAAUAGAUUCACGGAGUAAAAAUCACACUGUAAAUUCUUUCGUAAACAGUGACUUGCAUCAUAACUCUUGAGUUUCUUCAGUUGCAUGCAAAUUGCUGCUAAAUCAGAAUGAGAAGCACACAAUAUGGCUGCUGGUUUCAUAAGAAGGACCUGGCAGGGUUGGAAAUAAUAAUCAAAUUGCCUGAAAUCCGUUCAAAUCAGUUUAAUACUGAGGCAGUCCCCAUCAACUCAGCAUCUCUUUCGUCUUAUCUCCCACAGAUGUCAUUCCAAAUGAAGUUUCAGGUGCUGGAGGACAAGUUGAGGUCAGCUUAGUUUUUCUUGAUAUAAUAGUUUGAGUUCAUACUGCAUUUACUAUAAAUUGGACUGCAUAACUGUAACCCUUAGGUUCACACCCCCUCCCCUUUCAGUGCCACAGGAAAAUCCAGAUGUAUUGAAGCAAAUUACCAGAGGAAGUACUUGUGUGAAGACUUGUCACUGUUUUCUGGUGAUAGGGUUUUUUUAAGUGUUUUUUUUUCCUCUGGAAAUGUGACAUUGUAAUACUUCAAGUACAGGCAUCAGAGUUUACUUUGGGUAGUUGGAAAAACGGUAUUUUGCCAUUUAGAAGGUAAGUGAUCCAUUUUAAUAAACACACUCAUCAAUAAGGAAUAUUUUAUAUUAAAAAUUUAAUAAGGAAUAUUUUAUUUUAAUAAAUCAAGAAGGUAUAU